This 522-nucleotide long non-coding RNA is filed under the name Chinchilla lanigera (long-tailed chinchilla). RNAcentral's name for it is "lncRNA (ENSCLAG00000024103.1)". The record is from RNAcentral. Lineage: Eukaryota; Metazoa; Chordata; Mammalia; Rodentia; Chinchillidae.
UGAAAUAUCAAAGAUUCCAAAUGGGUGACGUUUGGAGGACCAUGAAAUAUUCUGAAGGAGGAGGCAAAAGUGUGCAGAAUUCUGACUUGCUGCAAUGAAAAUGGAGCUCAGAGCUGCAUCUUAGGCCUCAACCGAGCAGAGCUUGAAAAACACAUAUAUUUAAAAAGUCCUUGGAGAUAAACAGCGUCAAAGACCUCUAGAAGAAUGACUUCAGAGAAACAAACAGCUUCCGCAGGGUCUCAACUGACCAUCAUCUGGAAGUCCGAGAUCGCCCCUCGGAAGGGAGCCAGCCCCUCCGCUGACUGUCGCGCGCUAACAAUGAUGCCCCUGUGAAUCUACUCGUGAUCGCUGAAGCGUUCAGUCCAAACUGAGAAAAUGUUCUCCUUCGAGAUUCAAUUAUGCCUCUUUAAUAAUAACAACAGCAGCCAUAAUAGCAAUAGUUGUUUUUCUCAUUUAAAAUUACAUAUUGUGAGGUAAUCCUCCAAGUUUAAUUCAUGACCAAAUAAAUGUGCCGAUGAAGAG